AACGCACAUUGCGCCCGCCAGUAUUCUGGCGGGCAUGCCUGUUCGAGCGUCAUUUCAACCCUCAAGCCCCCUCCCUCCCCCCUCCCAGGGGGAGGACGCUUGGUGUUGGGGGCCGGCGACCUCGCUGCUACGGCGGCGUGCGCCGCCCCCGAAACGAAUUGGCGGGCUCGUCGCGGCCUCCUCUGCGUAGUAGUGUCACAACCUCGCAGCAGGAGCGCGGCGCGCCCACUGCCGUAAAAAGACGCCCCCGGCUGUUUCUAGAGUUGACCUCGAAUCAGGCAGGAAUACCCGCUGAACUUAA
This 301-nucleotide unclassified non-coding RNA is filed under the name uncultured fungus. RNAcentral's name for it is "partial contains 5.8S ribosomal RNA, internal transcribed spacer 2, and large subunit ribosomal RNA". The stretch from base 1 to 52 matches the Rfam family "5.8S ribosomal RNA", at positions 103 to 154 of the family's 154-position model. The record is from RNAcentral. Lineage: Eukaryota; Fungi.